GAAAUGCGAUAAGUAAUGUGAAUUGCAGAAUUCCGUGAAUCAUCGAAUCUUUGAACGCACAUUGCGCCCUCUGGUAUUCCGGGGGGCAUGCCUGUCCGAGCGUCAUUGCGAACCCCUCAAGCACGGCUUGUGUGAUGGGCCCUCCCGCGUCUUGGUCGUCAAGACGGGCCCGAAAUGCAGUGGCAGCUUCGCGGUUAUCCGAUCAGCCAGAGCGUAUGGGGACUUUCUCUCUGUCACACGCCCGCGGCGCGGACCGACGCCUGUCGACCUUUAUUCAUCUUUUUCUCGGUUGACCUCGGAUCAGGUAGGGAUACCCGCUGAACUUAAGC
This 329-nucleotide unclassified non-coding RNA is filed under the name plant metagenome. RNAcentral's name for it is "partial contains 5.8S ribosomal RNA, internal transcribed spacer 2, and large subunit ribosomal RNA". The stretch from base 1 to 105 matches the Rfam family "5.8S ribosomal RNA", at positions 50 to 154 of the family's 154-position model. The record is from RNAcentral.